Girardinichthys multiradiatus is the source of this 554-nucleotide long non-coding RNA. RefSeq lists it as uncharacterized. The record is from RefSeq and is a predicted model, not a curated record. Lineage: Eukaryota; Metazoa; Chordata; Actinopteri; Cyprinodontiformes; Goodeidae. The transcript has 3 exons.
UGAAGAUGCAUCGACUAAAGCAGACAGACUGUUCUCUGGUUAUGAAGAAUGUCAGAGGUGACGAUGUUGGUUCUUACACCUGCAGACGGCUCACAUCAGGAGAACAAGUAGCAGAGUCUCAUAUUGACCUGUCUGUCAUUACCAAAUUUUAGCAGAACACCGAUGAUAAAGUGACCCUGUUCUGCUAUGUGAUGGUAUCUAAGUACUGUAGAUACUCAGUGAGGUGGCUGUACAAAGGUCAAGAGAAAGUUCCCCCAGAUAUGGAGACAUCAUCAACACGCUGUGCAGCCAGUGUUUCCUUUACUACAUCUCACUUUCAUCAAAUGUUUCAUGAAUUUCUUCAGUGGAAACUUACUGAUACGUUUAUUAACAAGGACCAGCUGUUUACCUUCAGCUCUCAGGCCUCAGGUGAUAAAACCGAUGCAACCAGACAGACAACAAAUUUUGUAAAAAAUAACGGCAUCACCAACAAAAAUCCUAUCAACAAUAAAAUCAACUCUGACUGAUGUAACAUCUGUGAAAACAAAUCCCUCAACAGAAACCAAGAAUCCUUC